GGUUAAGCGACUAAGCGUACACGGUGGAUGCCCCGGCAGUCAGAGGCGAUGAAGGACGUGCUAAUCUGCGAUAAGCGUCGGUAAGGUGAUAUGAACCGUUAUAACCGGCGAUUUCCGAAUGGGGAAACCCAGUGUGAUUCGUCACACUAUCAUUAACUGAAUCCAUAGGUUAAUGAGGCGAACCGGGGAACUGAAACAUCUAAGUACCCCGAGGAAAAGAAAUCAACCGAGAUUCCCCAGUAGCGGCGAGCGAACGGGGAGGAGCCCAGAGCCUGAAUCAGUGUGUGUGUGUUAGUGGAAGCGUCUGGAAAGGCGCGCGAUACAGGGUGACAGCCCCGUACACAAAAAUGCACAUACUGUGAGCUCGAUGAGUAGGGCGGGACACGUGGUAUCCUGUCUGAAUAUGGGGGACCAUCCUCCAAGGCUAAAUACUCCUGACUGACCGAUAGUGAACCAGUACCGUGAGGGAAAGGCGAAAAGAACCCCGGCGAGGGAGUGAAAAAGAACCUGAAACCGUGUACGUACAAGCAGUGGGAGCCUCUUUAUGGGGUGACUGCGUACCUUUUUGUAUAAUGGGUCAGCGACUUAUAUUCUGUAGCAAGGUUAACCGAAUAGGGGAGCCGAAGGGAAACCGAGUCUUAACUGGGCGUUAAGUUGCAGGGUAUAGACCCGAAACCCGGUGAUCUAGCCAUGGGCAGGUUGAAGGUUGGGUAACACUAACUGGAGGACCGAACCGACUAAUGUUGAAAAAUUAGCGGAUGACUUGUGGCUGGGGGUGAAAGGCCAAUCAAACCGGGAGAUAGCUGGUUCUCCCCGAAAGCUAUUUAGGUAGCGCCUCGUGAAUUCAUCUCCGGGGGUAGAGCACUGUUUCGGCAAGGGGGUCAUCCCGACUUACCAACCCGAUGCAAACUGCGAAUACCGGAGAAUGUUAUCACGGGAGACACACGGCGGGUGCUAACGUCCGUCGUGAAGAGGGAAACAACCCAGACCGCCAGCUAAGGUCCCAAAGUCAUGGUUAAGUGGGAAACGAUGUGGGAAGGCCCAGACAGCCGGAUGUUGGCUUAGAAGCAGCCAUCAUUUAAAGAAAGCGUAAUAGCUCACUGGUCGAGUCGGCCUGCGCGGAAGAUGUAACGGGGCUAAACCAUGCACCGAAGCUGCGGCAGCGACACUAUGUGUUGUUGGGUAGGGGAGCGUUCUGUAAGCCUGUGAAGGUGUGCUGUGAGGCAUGCUGGAGGUAUCAGAAGUGCGAAUGCUGACAUAAGUAACGAUAAAGCGGGUGAAAAGCCCGCUCGCCGGAAGACCAAGGGUUCCUGUCCAACGUUAAUCGGGGCAGGGUGAGUCGACCCUAAGGCGAGGCCGAAAGGCGUAGUCGAUGGGAAACAGGUUAAUAUUCCUGUACUUGGUGUUACUGCGCUGCGAGGGGGACGGAGAAGGCUAUGUUGGCCGGGCGACGGUUGUCCCGGUUUAAGCGUGUAGGCUGGUUUUCCGGCAAAAUCCGGAAAACUAAGGCUGAGGCGUGAUGACGAGGCACUACGGUGCUGAAGCAACAAAUGCCCUGCUUCCGGAAAAGCCUCUAAGCAUCAGGUAACAUCAAAUCGUACCCCAAACCGACACAGGUGGUCAGGUAGAGAAUACCAAGGCGCUUGAGAGAACUCGGGUGAAGGAACUAGGCAAAAUGGUGCCGUAACUUCGGGAGAAGGCACGCUGAUAUGUAGGUGAAGCGACUUGCUCGUGGAGCUGAAAUCAGUCGAAGAUACCAGCUGGCUGCAACUGUUUAUUAAAAACACAGCACUGUGCAAACACGAAAGUGGACGUAUACGGUGUGACGCCUGCCCGGUGCCGGAAGGUUAAUUGAUGGGGUUAGCGGUAACGCGAAGCUCUUGAUCGAAGCCCCGGUAAACGGCGGCCGUAACUAUAACGGUCCUAAGGUAGCGAAAUUCCUUGUCGGGUAAGUUCCGACCUGCACGAAUGGCGUAAUGAUGGCGGGCUGUCUCCACCCGAGACUCAGUGAAAUUGAACUCGCUGUGAAGAUGCAGUGUACCCGCGGCAAGACGGAAAGACCCCGUGAACCUUUACUAUAGCUUGACACUGAACAUUGAGCCUUGAUGUGUAGGAUAGGUGGGAGGCUUUGAAGUGUGGACGCCAGUCUGCAUGGAGCCGACCUUGAAAUACCACCCUUUAAUGUUUGAUGUUCUAACGUUGACCCGUGAUCCGGGUUGCGGACAGUGUCUGGUGGGUAGUUUGACUGGGGCGGUCUCCUCCUAAAGAGUAACGGAGGAGCACGAAGGUUGGCUAAUCUGGUCGGACAUCAGGAGGUUAGUGCAAUGGCAUAAGCCAGCUUGACUGCGAGCGUGACGGCGCGAGCAGGUGCGAAAGCAGGUCAUAGUGAUCCGGUGGUUCUGAAUGGAAGGGCCAUCGCUCAACGGAUAAAAGGUACUCCGGGGAUAACAGGCUGAUACCGCCCAAGAGUUCAUAUCGACGGCGGUGUUUGGCACCUCGAUGUCGGCUCAUCACAUCCUGGGGCUGAAGUAGGUCCCAAGGGUAUGGCUGUUCGCCAUUUAAAGUGGUACGCGAGCUGGGUUUAGAACGUCGUGAGACAGUUCGGUCCCUAUCUGCCGUGGGCGCUGGAGAACUGAGGGGGCUGCUCCUAGUACGAGAGGACCGGAGUGGACGCAUCACUGGUGUUCGGGUUGUCAUGCCAAUGGCACUGCCCGGUAGCUAAAUGCGGAAGAGAUAAGUGCUGAAAGCAUCUAAGCACGAAACUUGCCCCGAGAUGAGUUCUCCCUGACUCCCUGAGAGUCCUGAAGGAACGUUGAAGACGACGACGUUGAUAGGCCGGGUGUGUAAGCGCAGCGAUGCGUUGAGCUAACCGGUACUAAUGAACCGUGAGGCUUAACCUU
This 2900-nucleotide ribosomal RNA is filed under the name Escherichia coli. RNAcentral's name for it is "23S ribosomal RNA". It matches the Rfam family "Bacterial large subunit ribosomal RNA". Lineage: Bacteria; Pseudomonadati; Pseudomonadota; Gammaproteobacteria; Enterobacterales; Enterobacteriaceae. The record is from RNAcentral.